GUAAACAAUUCUUAUUGUUAUGAAGGAGUUUAAAAGCUCCUCGGAUUAUUUAAAUGUCAUGGGGAAAAAAAAAAAUCAAACUUAAGAAAAAUCUCCAUUUCAUUUUUCUAGCAUAUGAACUGUGUUUGAAGAAAAAUCCUGGAUGAGUAUCACCAGAGGUGUUACUAAAGGAGCAUCAGCUACUCUACAGGCAAGAGAAGGAAUUUAUUUGUGCUGCUUCCACCUCAGCAGUUUUGCAGUGUCAGAUAUGUGGUAUCAAAUCUCCAGAGGAAACACAAAGGGGAGUGCAGCUGGUUCAUUCCUGACACCCUAUGGUGCUCAGAACUAGAGGAUGAUUGUGAUGGCAGCAGAACAAAGCCAAGGUCCUAAAAUACAAACCUGACAACCACAUUGGAAUUCAACCUGUAUUUGAAUACUUCGUUAGAUUUAGUGAAAAAAACAGAGAAUUUAUGUAGAUGUGACUUCAAUGUGUUUGGACCCUGAUUGACUACUGAAGGAAAUCCCUUGCUGGUCUUAGCCUUUUGGAUACAACUGCAGGAAGUAUGUACCUACACCUUUGUAAGUUGCAGUUUAUGUGUUUCAAUUUUGUGUCAACAAAAUGAAACUAUGAAAAGGUAAGGGAGGCCACCAAUAAACCAGGACAAGCAAUCA
Molecule: long non-coding RNA, 651 nt
Filed under: Cyanistes caeruleus (blue tit)
Lineage: Eukaryota; Metazoa; Chordata; Aves; Passeriformes; Paridae
Description: lncRNA (ENSCCEG00000015979.1)
Source: RNAcentral